AACGAACGCUGGCGGCAUGCCUAAUAUAUGCAAGUCGAACGAGAUCUUCGGAUCUAGUGGCGCACGGGUGCGUAACGCGUGGGAAUCUGCCCUUGGGUUCGGAAUAACAUCUGGAAACGGAUGCUAAUACCGGAUGAUGACGUAAGUCCAAAGAUUUAUCGCCCAAGGAUGAGCCCGCGUAGGAUUAGCUAGUUGGUGAGGUAAAGGCUCACCAAGGCUACGAUCCUUAGCUGGUCUGAGAGGAUGAUCAGCCACACUGGGACUGAGACACGGCCCAGACUCCUACGGGAGGCAGCAGUAGGGAAUAUUGGACAAUGGGGGCAACCCUGAUCCAGCAAUGCCGCGUGAGUGAUGAAGGCCUUAGGGUGUAAAGCUCUUUCGGCCGGGAAGAAAUCGCAUGGGUUAAUACCUGUGCGGAUGACGGUACCGGCAUAAGAAGCACCGGCUAACUACGUGCCAGCAGCCGCGGUAAGAGUGUGUGUACCG
Molecule: ribosomal RNA, 486 nt
Filed under: uncultured bacterium
Lineage: Bacteria
Description: bacterial SSU rRNA
Rfam family: Bacterial small subunit ribosomal RNA
Source: RNAcentral